Molecule: ribosomal RNA, 440 nt
Filed under: uncultured bacterium
Lineage: Bacteria
Description: partial 16S ribosomal RNA
Rfam family: Bacterial small subunit ribosomal RNA
Source: RNAcentral
CCUACGGGAGGCAGCAGUGGGGAAUAUUGCACAAUGGGGGAAACCCUGAUGCAGCGACGCCGCGUGAAGGAAGACGUAUUUAGGGAUGUAAACUCCUAUCUGCCGGGAAGCAAAUGACGGUACCUGACUAAGAAGCCCCGGCUUACUACGUACCAGCAGCCGCGGUAAUACGUCGGGGGCAAGCGUUAUCCGGAUUUACUGGGUGUAAAGGGAGCGUAGGCGGUUUAGCAAGUCAGAAGGGAAAGCCCGGGGCCCAACUCCGGGACUGCUGUUGAAACUGUUGAACUAGAUUGCAGGAGAGGUAAGUGGAAUUCCUAGUGUAGCGGUGAAAUGCGUAGAUAUUAGGAGGAACUCCAGUGGCGAAGGCGGCAUACUGGACUGCAAAUGACGCUGAGGCUCGAAAGCGUGGGUAGCAAACAGGAUUAGAUACCCCAGUAGUC